Molecule: long non-coding RNA, 775 nt
Filed under: Danio rerio (zebrafish)
Lineage: Eukaryota; Metazoa; Chordata; Actinopteri; Cypriniformes; Danionidae
Description: lncRNA si:dkey-62k3.4 (ENSDARG00000102710.2)
Source: RNAcentral
AAAUACCCCAAAACACACAUGCCCUUCACAAAGAGAACACAAGACAACACAGGCAAGAGGAGAAAGAGCAAGACUAACAACCUCUCCAAGAACCUUCAGAAGGACAAACAAACAUCUCAACAACAAGAUGAUGUGCUCCAGGUGUUUUCUGCUUAUUCUGGUUAUCUACUUCCUGAUGGACGAGCUUUGUGCUUUCCUCUUACCAGACAGACUGCGAGUGAAAAGGAGCAGUCACAUGUCAGAUCAGGAUCUGUCAUCACACAUUUAUGAGCUCUCAGAUCUGACUGAACUGUUCCCUGGAAAUGAAGGGGAAAUGACUCGGGAUUGGGAUCCCAAUCCGGCCAAGUCUCCUGCUUUCUUCUCCCCAAUGGAACAAAUCAACAUGCAGCAAGCAAACAACAACCGGCGUAAAAACAAGGACAACAGGAGAAGGAUCACGGUUCCUCUGGACCGCAUUGGCAGCUCUCACUUAUCUACUCGAAGCAGAAAGGAGGAGCCUGAAGACUUUAAGGAGUACGACGCAAAGUGAUCAAGCUGAAAUAUUGCAUACUGUUAAAAAGGACUGUUUUAUGUUGUGUAGCUUUGGUCCCUUUUCACUCGAUUUUCUUUUUUUAUUCUUAAGUCAUUGCAUCUCAGGUUUAUAAACUGUGACUUAUUUAUUUGUAUUUAUGUUUUGCAAAUAUUCGCUUCUCGGCUCCCUGUAGCGGGGUGCGAACUGACAGACACUACUGGUGUUGCUGCAAAAAAUAAAUAAAACGUACAUGAAUCAACUAAU